UUACCUUUAAAAUUCAAAAUCUACACAAAACACACACAAACACACAAAAACUUUGAGACAACCCCCAACCAUUUUCGUCAGCACCAUCCGGUCCAUCCCUUGGCAAUAAAAAUCAAAUUAGAAAAAGAAGAAAAUUGGAGAUAGAGAUUUGGAGAGGGAACAAGGAAGAGAAUGUACACAGAGAAAGAGAUAGAUGAGGGAUGGGAAGCGAGGAAGAAAGAAUGGGCAGGAAUGAAUUCUGACCGGG
Molecule: long non-coding RNA, 247 nt
Filed under: Olea europaea (common olive)
Lineage: Eukaryota; Viridiplantae; Streptophyta; Magnoliopsida; Lamiales; Oleaceae
Description: long non-coding RNA (OEUR_LNC014109)
Source: RNAcentral